GGAUCAGGAUGUGAUAUACAGUAUAUAAAAAAGUAGAAUUAUCCUAAUUGUUGACAAAAUUCCAAAGCUUGGGAUGAAGUUGAAGAAAAUCUGCUUUUGAACCUUUGGAUAAGUUUGGAUUAGAACACAAUUAAAUUACUGUUAUGCUCCAUUAUUUGGUGACCCCACAACACAAAACUUCAUUUCUCAAAGUGUUACUAAAAGAGAUUUUAUCAUGAACAAUAUGGAAGCAUAUUCUCUGCCCCAAUAUUGAUUAUGACGUGACAUGCUGGUUAACUUUACAAUACAUUCAUAUUUCUAUUUAUUUGUAAGUGAAAUAUUUUAUGUUUAAAUUAUUUGAAUAAUGAGUUUAAUACUAAAUUAUUAUACCUUUGUGCAAUGUGGUGCCCAACCCAAAUUUUUAAUCUUCUAGUUAAAUAUAUUGUUAUAUCAAAACAAAAUAUGAAUCAUGGAGAUUUUUUAAUAUAACAUUUAUCAUGUCAUGCCAGUUAGUUUUAUGGUAUAUUGAUAUAUCUAUCUACUUGUAAGUGAAAUGUUUUAAGUUCGAAUUUUCUGAAUAAUGAGUUGAUUACUAAAUUUUUAUAGUUUUGUUCAAUAUGUUUCAAUGUUACAAAUACUGCGUUGAUCCUAGCCGUUGACAAGUUUUUGCUGUUUUGAUUAGUGAAAUUCCAUGCAUCCAAAGGGUAGAUAUAAAGUAAAAAACAAAAUUACCUUGACCCAAAAUUAAUUUUUAUAUUUACCAGAAAAAUAAUGAAGAAAUGUAAAUUUUGUAUUUUGGUAAAUAUUAAAAAAAUAAUGAUAAAAAGUUGAGCUGGACUUGUUGCGAAUGGGUUGCCGGUUGCUUUUUAGUGUGUAGUGGCAAUGUGGCAUCCACACCACAACCACAAGCGUAACGCCGUUUGUCCCCCACCAACCGGUCUUCUUUGUAACCGUGCAAACUUUAGUACCGUCCACUCCUUUAGCCUCUAUUUAUGAAUUUGAUUGACAAGAUAGGUCAAAUUUGGAAUUUUAAAAUAUUCAUUUUCUAGAAGAAAAAAAAAGUCGAAAUAUAUGAGAACAAAAUAGGGAGUUUUUGGUACGAGAAAUACUAAGAAGAUUUUCUCAAAUAUUUUUCAUGAAUUAUUUACCAUCUCAGAGUUUAUCGUUAAUUAUCGUGACAACAACAUUAUAGGACGUUAUGCAAAAAACAUGAGGUGGUACAAAAUCCAUGGAGAGUCUUCACUUUAAGAAAAUCUCCUUAGCAUUUCUCAUACUGAGUACUGCUAUAUUUUGUACUCAUGUGUUUUCAACUUUUUUAAGAAAAUGAAUAUAUUUCAAAAUUAUAAUCAAGUUUGCAAUGAGCGCAUCAUUGCACCUAAAUUCUUAUAAUAAUCAACUCGAGUCUCAUUGAAUAUCUUAAAACUCAAAUUCUGCAAUUUAACAUUCAAAAAGUCAAUUCGUGUCACACUUUACCCCUACCGUCAAAAUCUACUAAUAAUUCCUUUAUAACUGUUAUCGCGGUACAAAUUGUAACAACCCGUCCCAAUUAAAUUUACGGAUUUUGGACAUUUCACGAGUGAAAUAUAUAUUUGGGGAUUAUUUUUGGGCCUUAAUUGGUGAGCCGAGAGGGGCCCACCUUCCUUUUUGGUCCCCCGACCCUCCCUUCCUCUUGGCCGUCACGUGGACCCCUCUCAUCUUUUCCUUUCACUUUCUCUUCUUCUCUCUUCUCUCCCCCGAGUUCACUUUCUUUCUCUC
Molecule: long non-coding RNA, 1734 nt
Filed under: Malus domestica (apple)
Lineage: Eukaryota; Viridiplantae; Streptophyta; Magnoliopsida; Rosales; Rosaceae
Description: long non-coding RNA (MDOM_LNC014705)
Source: RNAcentral